GCUGGGCACGUUGGCACAUGCCUGUAAUCCCAUCAGCUCAGGAGGCUAAGGCAGGAGAAUCAUGAGUUCAAAGCCAGCUUUAGCAAAAGCAAAGUGCUAAGCAACUCAGUGAGACCCUAUCUCUC
Molecule: small RNA, 125 nt
Filed under: Marmota monax (woodchuck)
Lineage: Eukaryota; Metazoa; Chordata; Mammalia; Rodentia; Sciuridae
Source: RNAcentral